RNAcentral lists this long non-coding RNA (984 nucleotides) under Homo sapiens (human). RNAcentral's name for it is "HSALNT0391073". The record is from RNAcentral. Lineage: Eukaryota; Metazoa; Chordata; Mammalia; Primates; Hominidae.
CCGUAGCGUCUGAAAUCUCCUCGCUAUUGGGUUAAAUGUUUGUCAUUGCAACUACUCGCCCCGCCCAACUCUCGGAGGCAGGCGCUUUGGCAGCCCCAAAGGUCAUUGGUUGGCCAAGAUGUCAGUCAGGCAGAUAACGGCUCAGUGCGGGUGGUGGGGGCGUGGGUGGCCUGGAGGCGAGCGUGCUGUAGCAGCGGGCCUCCAAGUUCUAGGCCAAGUCUCUGAGAGUGAAACCGUCUGUGACCUGCGCUGACUUCCCCUCCGCUGCUGCUGUUCUGAGCGGCCUCUCCACGCUGUCGAGUAAAAGUACAAUUCUGCCUUAGUGGAAGACCUACUGACUUUCGCGGGACAGAGCCCUGCGGCCUGGCAGCCUGGCCUGCGCCCAACGGGUACCACCUUCCCGCCCCAUCUCUUCCCAGGGCCCUUUUAACCCGAAAGCUGCUCUCUCCGUGCCUCAGGGACAGGCUUCGGGCGCGCAGAUGCGCUCAGGGCCAGGCCAGCUUGAGUCAGGCCCUCCCGCGCUUUCCUGCAGGAUCUAGAAAUGUCCCCGAAUUCUGGGGUAGGCACCGACCCGACCAGCUUGGCUCUGUUUUUGUCAGUUCCCAUCCUGUACCCUUCCCGCCGUGGAUCCCAACGCAAAUGCUAAUCCAGCCCCAAAGGUAUCUGUGCCUGUGAGUUGGAAAAGGGGAAGGGCCAGAGACCAAAUGACACCUUUAGGGUUCAAGUGAUUCUCUUGCUUCAGCCUCCUGAGUAGCUGGGAUUACAGGCGCCCGCCACCAUGCCCAGCUAAAGGAAAUCCCCUGUAAGGAGGAAAGUUUAAAAACAAAUUUAAAAAGGAAAGAAAAAGACGUACAAAAUUCGCGGUACCUUGUCUUAUUCUAAUAAAAAAUAAUGAUAUUUAUCCACAGAUAUAGGAACUAACGGGGGGAGGAAAUUUUCUCUUUUAUGACGUAUAUUUCCAAUAAAAUUUUAGUUUUUAUUAGA